RNAcentral lists this small RNA (28 nucleotides) under Bombyx mori (domestic silkworm). Its description in RNAcentral is "ovarian small RNA-9822". The record is from RNAcentral. Lineage: Eukaryota; Metazoa; Arthropoda; Insecta; Lepidoptera; Bombycidae.
UUUUGUACUAGUGGUGGCUGCACACACG